Molecule: long non-coding RNA, 1220 nt
Filed under: Coturnix japonica (Japanese quail)
Lineage: Eukaryota; Metazoa; Chordata; Aves; Galliformes; Phasianidae
Description: lncRNA (ENSCJPG00005000572.1)
Source: RNAcentral
UGUCUCUAUGGAUUAUCCCUGUCCCUAUUGCUCUAUAGGGUCCCUAUGGGGUCUCUAUGGGGUCUCUAUGGGUUCUCCCUGUCCCUAUUGCCCUAUGGGGUCUCUAUGGGUUCUCCCCAUCUCUAUUGCUCUAUAGGGUCUCUAUGGGGUCUCUAUGGGUUCUCCCCAUCCCUAUUGCUCUAUGGGGUCCCUAUGGGGUCUCUAUGUCCCUAUAUGCCUAUAUGGGGUCUCUAUGGGGUCUCUAUGGGUUCUCCCCAUCCUUAUUGCUCUAUAGGGUCUCUAUGGGGUCUCUAUGGGUUCUCCCCAUCCCUAUUGCUCUAUAGGGUCUCUAUGGGGUUAUGGGGUCUCUAUGGGGUCUCUAUAGGGUCUCUAUGGGGUCUCUAUGGGUUCUCCCCAUCCCUAUUGCUCUAUAGGGUCUCUAUGGGGUCUCUAUGGGUUCCCCCUGUCCCUAUUGCUCUAUGGGGUCUCUAUGGGUUCUCCCCGUCCCUAUUGCUCUAUAGGGUCUCUAUAGGGUCUCUAUGGGGUCUCUAUGGGGUCUCUAUGGGGUCUCUAUGGGGUCUCCCUGUCCCUAUUGCUCUAUGGGGUCUCUAUGGGGUCUCUAUGGGUUCUCCCAAUCCUUGUUGCUCUAUAGGGUCUCUAUGGGGUCUCUAUGGGUUCUCCCUUUCCCCAUUGCUUUAUGGGGUCUCUAUGGGGUCUCUAUGGGGUCUCUAUGGGGUCUCUAUGGGGUCUCUAUGGGGUCUCUAUGGGUUCUCCCUGUCCCUAUAUAUCUCUAUGGGGUCUCUAUGGGGUCUCUAUGGGGUCUCCCCAUCCCUAUUGCUCUAUAGGGUCUCUAUGGGGUUAUGGGGUCUCUAUGGGGUCUCUAUGGGGUCUCCCCGUCCCUAUUUCUCUAUAGGGUCUCUAUGGGGUUAUGGGGUCUCUAUGGGGUCUCUAUGGGUUCUCCCCAUCCCUAUCCCUCUAUAGGGUCUCUAUGGGGUCUCUAUGGGUUCUCCCUUUCCCUAUUGGUCUAUGGGAUCUCUAUGGGUCUCCCUGUCCCUAUGGGGUCUCUAUAGGGUCUCUAUGGGGUCUCUAUGGGGUCUCCCUGUCCCUAUUGCUCUAUGGGGUCUCUAUAGGGUCUCUAUGGGGUCUCUAUGGGGUCUCUAUGGGUCUCCCUGUCCCUAUGGGGUCUCUAUGGGGUUAUGGGGUCUAUAUGGGGUCUCUAUUGCUCUCCCUGUCCCUAUGGG